GACGAACGCUGGCGGCGUGCCUAAUACAUGCAAGUAGAACGCACAGUUUAUACCGUAGCUUGCUACACCAUAGACUGUGAGUUGCGAACGGGUGAGUAACGCGUAGGUAACCUGCCUGGUAGCGGGGGAUAACUAUUGGAAACGAUAGCUAAUACCGCAUAAUAUUAAUUAUUGCAUGAUAAUUAAUUGAAAGGUGCAAUUGCACCACUACCAGAUGGACCUGCGUUGUAUUAGCUAGUAGGGGAGGUAACGGCUCACCUAGGCGACGAUACAUAGCCGACCGGAGAGGGUGCACGGCCAAACUGGGACUGGGACACGGCCCAGACUCCUACGGGAGGCAGCAGUAGGGAAUCUUCGGCAAUGGACGAAAGUCUGACCGAGCAACGCCGCGUGAGUGAAGAAGGUUUUCGGAUCGUAAAGCUCUGUUGUAAGAGAAGAACGGGUGUGAGAGUGGAAAGUUCACACUGUGACGGUAUCUUACCAGAAAGGGACGGCUAACUACGUG
RNAcentral lists this ribosomal RNA (505 nucleotides) under uncultured bacterium. RNAcentral describes it as "partial 16S ribosomal RNA". It matches the Rfam family "Bacterial small subunit ribosomal RNA", at positions 28 to 507 of the family's 1533-position model. The record is from RNAcentral.